CUCCUUAGAGCUGUGGUUGAAAGUCGAAGCCCAGUCGCAGGCGAAACGACCCACGUAAGGUAACUUUGGUUACUGAGCAUGGUGCGGCUUUGGAGUAAGUCCUGCCUUAACCCUAAUAGGUUAUAACAAUAAGAGAAGAGUAGUAGUGAAGGACAAAGUUCCCGAGCAAACCUCUCAGCAGGCGAGUGUGGGGGCAAAGACCAGGUCAGUCUAAGGAA
This 218-nucleotide non-coding RNA is filed under the name unclassified sequences. RNAcentral's name for it is "raiA RNA". It matches the Rfam family "raiA RNA". The record is from Rfam by way of RNAcentral.